UACAGAGACUGCAAGCGUUAUUCGGAUUCACUGGGCGUAAAGGGUGCGCAGGCGGCCGUGUGUGUCAGAUGUGAAAGCCCGGGGCUUAACCCCGGAACUGCGUCUGAAACUACACGGCUAGAGCAUUGGAGAGGGAAGUGGAAUUCAUGGUGUAGCAGUGAAAUGCGUAGAUAUCAUGAGGAACACCAGAGGCGAAGGCGACUUCCUGGACAAUUGCUGACGCUCAGGCACGAAAGCGUGGGUAGCCAAAGGG
Molecule: ribosomal RNA, 253 nt
Filed under: bacterium
Lineage: Bacteria
Also listed under: 1 other name
Description: partial 16S ribosomal RNA
Rfam family: Bacterial small subunit ribosomal RNA
Source: RNAcentral